UGUUUUAUUUCUUUUUUUCCAGGUCAGUUCUUCGCCAAAACCUACGAUCCAAUUCCAGUCCAACCAAGGGGUAAGUAAUUAUCUGAUUCAUUGAAAAGCGGAUUUUCGGAACCUUUCAAAAGAGUCACACGUGAUCGGUUUUUGCGUUUCCUCCAUUUUUCCGCCCUCCCCGAAACUGUCGUUCGAGUAAAUUCGAGAUUCUCGAAUACGAUUCGAAGUAGCGUUACAUGUGAACAUACAAGGAGAACGCAUGGGAGCGCUUACGAAUUUCUAAUCUAUUUUUAGAGUUAGAAUAAGGGGGCGUAAAUGGCGAGAGUGGCGGAAAGUAACUGUUUUAAAAGACAUUUAAGCGUGUAUUCGAUCGAAUUUCUUUCAGCUAUGACCUAAUUAGUAAGAAAACAGAAGCACUGGUAUGCCCUGAUCUACUUCGCAAUGUUUUGCUUUUAGGGACACCGUCCUGUAACUCGUUCACCUAUGAAUGCCUAAAACUUAUGCAUUCCUCGCUUGUGACGCGGCAAACGUCGCGUUAGUCAUCGACCCAGUUUUUUCAGAGUCGCAAUUUAUAUGUCCGCGAUACGUCGGCACUUUCUAUGCGUGCGCGCGCUCGCGCGCCAUGUUUCCUUGCGUUAAUAAUAAUUGCAACGCCGACGCUUCCGUAACACGCGUCAGUACGGGAGCAAACCCGUUACUGAAGUACACUGACGCUUUCAGCCUCCUUUUAUGCUCUGGAUAACGUGGAGGGGAGGAGUCUCGGACCGUAAUCGUCCUAUGACGACGUCAUGCGUAAUUGGGUUGCCCGUCCUCUUUUCUACUAACCAAUGGAGAGCAGUGUAUGUCAGUGGGGCGCGCGGGAAUCGCGUCGUCAUCGUGCGAUUUCGCUUGCGUCGCCAUGUGACGUCAACCGAUUUCCGUUUUCUCUUCUCUCUCUCUCUCUGUCACACUUUGUAGGGCAAUAACCGUGCGUGAACCGGCCGCCAUCCGUAUCAGGAAAUACCCGAAUGGCAGGUUGGACGCCUUAAGAAGGGCGAAUUCCUUUAAGUAUAGGGAAAACUUACUGUCCUAAUAAACGUCACCCAUAACUAAAAGAUGAUCUACGGAUGAGUUCUAAUUAAAUAAUCACUAGAUAGCAUGACUUAAAAGCAUGGAGAAACCAGCAGAGUAAUAUCUAGCGACAGGGAGUUUUAUUAAUAGAAUUUAUAUUAAAUAUUACCAGUUUUAUAUAAUAAUCAUUUGAAAAAUACAUCUCAGUUGUUUUUUUAAUUAUGAAAUGUCUAUACAGAAUUUUACUUCAUUAACUUGAAGUACACUUCUUCUUAAAAUGCAUUUAAAUAAGUUUGCUUUUGACUGAAAAUUUUUAAAUGUACAGAAAAAUAUAGAAAUCGGAUUAAACUUAAUAGCAACAUGAAUAUCUAAUAACAUUGUAAAAAUAUUGAUAAAUUUGCUGUCAAAAUAAAUCGUUCUAUUAAAAAUUUAAAAAAAAAAAAAUCUCUUAAGUACAAUCAAAAAGUUAG
This 1511-nucleotide long non-coding RNA is filed under the name Androctonus crassicauda. The record is from RNAcentral. Lineage: Eukaryota; Metazoa; Arthropoda; Arachnida; Scorpiones; Buthidae.